This 27-nucleotide transfer RNA is filed under the name Hepatica transsilvanica. RNAcentral's name for it is "Anemone transsilvanica partial transfer RNA-Phe". The record is from RNAcentral. Lineage: Eukaryota; Viridiplantae; Streptophyta; Magnoliopsida; Ranunculales; Ranunculaceae.
GUCGGGAUAGCUCAGUUGGUAGAGAAA